RNAcentral lists this long non-coding RNA (1709 nucleotides) under Corvus moneduloides (New Caledonian crow). RNAcentral describes it as "lncRNA (ENSCMUG00000012837.2)". Lineage: Eukaryota; Metazoa; Chordata; Aves; Passeriformes; Corvidae. The record is from RNAcentral.
GUUGCCUCGGUUGGGCAAAUUCCAAAAGCUGUACUGAAAAGACAAGAUUUUAAUGAUGCCUCAAUCCCAAAUCAAAGGGAGAAUUACAGUCCUGUGUAUGUUCAGCCUCUAAGGAUGGCAGAUCCAGCAUCAGACUAUUUCCCUCACUCCCGAGCCCAGCGAGAUGGGUUUGACUAUCCCAGGAAGGAUUUGCCUUAUCCAGUUUAUCCAGAGGCGAGACAGUACCGGAGAUACUAAGAACAAGUGCUUCCUAUAUCAGAAAUGUCUUGGAAAGCUGCAUAAUUACUGGGCAAUCCAGGUGCUGAGAGAGCAGCGAGACCCUGGUGGGACACAGAGGAAAUUGCCAUUCUUAUUAGAUAGCACUAAGUUAUUGCAAAGAAAAGGUAUAGAGGAUAAUUGUAAAAGAAAACCUGAUAUAACAUGACAUUAACAUCUGAUUUAUUUGCUAUGUAAUUGGUGACGGCUUCCUGUGAAUCCCUGAUACUGGAGUGCACAAGGGUCUGGCCCUGGUAGUGUGGUACAAACACAGCCAAGGAUUUGGCUUCCCUCUGUCUCAAGAUUUAGCAAAUAUUUACAGGCCCAUUCCCUGUCCUUUGUCUUUUUUGCUUUGUCUUCUUUCUGUGCUGAUCCCAACAGCUGGAACGGUUUGCCUUUAGUACUGCCCUGGCUUGCUUUGUAACUUUUUUGUAAAUGAGGACAAUAAAUGAAGCUAUGGAAGAUUGACCACCUUGCCACUAAGUAACAAAUUAAAGACACUGAAGGCUGGGAUUUAUUUCCCAUUUUCCAAAAAGUCUGAAGCACAUUAUAUUGCGAUUUAUAUAAAAUGAUUUUCAUUAGUAUUAGGUAAUAUGUGAAACUAUAUGACAAAACUAGAAUAUUAAGGAUUUUAGAAAGGAUUUUUUGAUGCUUGUUUUCCCCUCAGUGUAACAAAAACUUCAAAGUGGCCAAAUUUCACUGGGUUUACUUCUACUGCUGCAAACUCUGUCAGAAAUAAAAGUGAGACUCGUUCCCUCUCUUAUCUUCAGAAACACACAGAAAUGGUGUUAGCACAUUUAUUUAGAUUCCAGACUAUCAGUUUAAACCAUUCUGACCUCAGAAAUUCAGAUCCAAAGGUGUCAGAAAACUGUGUCAGUGAAUUGCUUUUUCUGUCACUUCUCAGCCUCGGGUAGUGCCACAAUCUGACAAACAGUGGUGGUUGUUGACCUCAGUCCGGCUCUGUUGUACCAGCCUCAGAGUGACCACAGAAUCUGAGUGUUCAGUUUGAUAUUCCACCACUCCUCUGAAAAGGAGUAGGAGGCACAGAUAAGGCAAUGCUGUCAAUAUCCAUGGUGCUGGCAAGAGCAGAGCUGGCUAAACUGAGUCUCUCUCACUCUUUGCCCAAGUGUUCAGUUUUGUCGUUACCUUUUUCUGGUAUUUUUCCCUUCAUUCCUUACUUGUGUUGGGCAGUUUGAAAUUAUUUUGUCAUAAGAAUGUCUGUCUCUUGCUAGAGCUAGACUAAACGACUGGAAUGUUUUUCUUACUGAAUUUACUUUGGGGUGUGCUGUGUUAUGUGGCUUUACCAUUUAAAACAAAAAAUAAAGGGGAGGAGGGUCAAAUAUAAGUCUCCAAAUUCUCUGCUAAGGAGAUGAAAGUCCAGGAGGAUUAAUCUUUUGAGAAUUACAGAAGCUCCAUGGCUCUCUUGUCCUGAGGAGCCCAGAACUGGACACAGC